GGCUGACAGAUUGCACUGAAGAGAAACCUAACAUUUGUGGGACGACUAACCUGCCAUCUGUGUUCUCCAAAUCUCAAACUUUCUGGCUGAUUUCAAACAACCCAAGGAGGCGGAGUAGAGGCAAGAAGGAUCCUUCAUCUCAUGCAAAUUUCAAUAAAAUAUGGACCAGAUAAAGGCAACCAAUGCUGCGAGUGGCUCCGCUGAGAGAAAGAAGUUCACUCUUAAU
This 226-nucleotide long non-coding RNA is filed under the name Gallus gallus (chicken). The record is from RNAcentral. Lineage: Eukaryota; Metazoa; Chordata; Aves; Galliformes; Phasianidae.